This 429-nucleotide ribosomal RNA is filed under the name Gemmatimonadota bacterium. RNAcentral describes it as "Gemmatimonadetes bacterium partial 16S ribosomal RNA". It matches the Rfam family "Bacterial small subunit ribosomal RNA", at positions 355 to 776 of the family's 1533-position model. Lineage: Bacteria; Pseudomonadati; Gemmatimonadota. The record is from RNAcentral.
UAGGGAAUCUUCGGCAAUGGACGAAAGUCUGACCGAGCAACGCCGCGUGCGUGAAGAAGGUUUUCGGAUCGUAAAACUCUGUUGUUAGAGAAGAACAAGGACGUUAGUAACUGAACGUCCCCUGACGGUAUCUAACCAGAAAGCCACGGCUAACUACGUGCCAGCAGCCGCGGUAAUACGUAGGUGGCAAGCGUUGUCCGGAUUUAUUGGGCGUAAAGCGAGCGCAGGCGGUUUCUUAAGUCUGGUGUGAAAGCCCCCGGCUCAACCGGGGAGGGUCAAUGGAAACUGGGAGACUUGAGUGCAGAAGAGGAGAGUGGAAUUCCAUGUGUAGCGGUGAAAAGCGUAGAUAUAUGGAGGAACACCAGUGGCGAAGGCGGCUCUCUGGUCUGUAACUGACGCUGAGGCUCGAAAGCGUGGGGAGCAAACAGG